RNAcentral lists this transfer RNA (57 nucleotides) under Heterakis dispar. RNAcentral describes it as "tRNA-Phe". Lineage: Eukaryota; Metazoa; Nematoda; Chromadorea; Rhabditida; Heterakidae. The record is from RNAcentral.
AUCUUCUUAGUUUAGUGUAAAAUGUAAUUUUGAAGUGAUUAAGAGAUUUAGAAGAUG